This 460-nucleotide ribosomal RNA is filed under the name uncultured bacterium. RNAcentral's name for it is "partial 16S ribosomal RNA". It matches the Rfam family "Bacterial small subunit ribosomal RNA", at positions 338 to 795 of the family's 1533-position model. The record is from RNAcentral.
CCUACGGGAGGCAGCAGUGAGGAAUAUUGGUCAAUGGACGAGAGUCUGAACCAGCCAAGUAGCGUGAAGGAUGACUGCCCUAUGGGUUGUAAACUUCUUUUAUAUGGGAAUAAAAUGUUCCACGUGUGGGAUUUUGUAUGUACCAUAUGAAUAAGGAUCGGCUAACUCCGUGCCAGAAGCCCCGUUAAUACGGAGGCUCCGAGCGUUAUCAGGAUUUAUUGGUUUUAAAGGGAGCGUAGGUGGAUUGUUAAGUCAGUUUGGAAAGUUUGCGGCUCAACCGUAAAAUUGCAGUUGAAACUGGCAGUCUUGAGUACAGUAGAGGUGGGCGGAAUUCGUGGUGUUGCGGUGAAAUGCUUAGAUAUCACGAAGAACCCCGAUUGCGAAUGCAGUUCACUGGACUGCAACUGACACUGAGGCUCGAAAGUGUGGGUAUCAAACAGGAUUAGAUACCCCAGUAGUC